UGGCUCAGGAUGAACGCUGGCGGCGUGCCUAAUACAUGCAAGUCGAAUGAGUUCUGAUUAUUGAAAGGUGCUUGCAUCUUGAUUUAAUUUUGAACGAGUGGCGGACGGGUGAGUAACACGUGGGUAACCUGCCCUUAAGUGGGGGAUAGCAUUUGGAAACAGAUGCUAAUACCGCAUAAAUCCAAGAACCGCAUGGUUCUUGGCUGAAAGAUGGCGUAAGCUAUCGCUUUUGGAUGGACCCGCGGCGUAUUAGCUAGUUGGUGAGGUAACGGCUCACCAAGGCAAUGAUACGUAGCCGAACUGAGAGGUUGAUCGGCCACAUUGGGACUGAGACACGGCCCAAACUCCUACGGGAGGCAGCAGUAGGGAAUCUUCCACAAUGGACGCAAGUCUGAUGGAGCAACGCCGCGUGAGUGAAGAAGGCUUUCGGGUCGUAAAACUCUGUUGUUGGAGAAGAAUGGUCGGCAGAGUAACUGUUGUCGGCGUGACGGUAUCCAACCAGAAAGCCACGGCUAACUACGUGCCAGCAGCCGCGGUAAUACGUAGGUGGCAAGCGUUAUCCGGAUUUAUUGGGCGUAAAGCGAGCGCAGGCGGUUUUUUAAGUCUGAUGUGAAAGCCCUCGGCUUAACCGAGGAAGUGCAUCGGAAACUGGGAAACUUGAGUGCAGAAGAGGACAGUGGAACUCCAUGUGUAGCGGUGAAAUGCGUAGAUAUAUGGAAGAACACCAGUGGCGAAGGCGGCUGUCUGGUCUGUAACUGACGCUGAGGCUCGAAAGCAUGGGUAGCGAACAGGAUUAGAUACCCUGGUAGUCCAUGCCGUAAACGAUGAAUGCUAGGUGUUGGAGGGUUUCCGCCCUUCAGUGCCGCAGCUAACGCAUUAAGCAUUCCGCCUGGGGAGUACGACCGCAAGGUUGAAACUCAAAGGAAUUGACGGGGGCCCGCACAAGCGGUGGAGCAUGUGGUUUAAUUCGAAGCAACGCGAAGAACCUUACCAGGUCUUGACAUCUUUUGAUCACCUGAGAGAUCAGGUUUCCCCUUCGGGGGCAAAAUGACAGGUGGUGCAUGGUUGUCGUCAGCUCGUGUCGUGAGAUGUUGGGUUAAGUCCCGCAACGAGCGCAACCCUUAUGACUAGUUGCCAGCAUUUAGUUGGGCACUCUAGUAAGACUGCCGGUGACAAACCGGAGGAAGGUGGGGAUGACGUCAAAUCAUCAUGCCCCUUAUGACCUGGGCUACACACGUGCUACAAUGGAUGGUACAACGAGUUGCGAGACCGCGAGGUCAAGCUAAUCUCUUAAAGCCAUUCUCAGUUCGGACUGUAGGCUGCAACUCGCCUACACGAAGUCGGAAUCGCUAGUAAUCGCGGAUCAGCACGCCGCGGUGAAUACGUUCCCGGGCCUUGUACACACCGCCCGUCACACCAUGAGAGUUUGUAACACCCGAAGCCGGUGGCGUAACCCUUUUAGGGAGCGAGCCGUCUAAGGUGGGACAAAUG
Molecule: ribosomal RNA, 1491 nt
Filed under: uncultured organism
Description: SSU rRNA
Rfam family: Bacterial small subunit ribosomal RNA
Source: RNAcentral